AAACCAACAGGGAUUGCCUCAGUAGCGGCGAGUGAAGCGGCAAGAGCUCAGAUUUGAAAUCGUGCUUUGCGGCACGAGUUGUAGAUUGCAGGUUGGAGUCUGUGUGGAAGGCGGUGUCCAAGUCCCUUGGAACAGGGCGCCCAGGAGGGUGAGAGCCCCGUGGGAUGCCGGCGGAAGCAGUGAGGCCCUUCUGACGAGUCGAGUUGUUUGGGAAUGCAGCUCCAAGCGGGUGGUAAAUUCCAUCUAAGGCUAAAUACUGGCGAGAGACCGAUAGCGAACAAGUACUGUGAAGGAAAGAUGAAAAGCACUUUGAAAAGAGAGUGAAACAGCACGUGAAAUUGUUGAAAGGGAAGGGUAUUGCGCCCGACAUGGGGAUUGCGCACCGCUGCCUCUCGUGGGCGGCGCUCUGGGCUUUCCCUGGGCCAGCAUCGGUUCUUGCUGCAGGAGAAGGGGUUCUGGAACGUGGCUCUUCGGAGUGUUAUAGCCAGGGG
This 491-nucleotide ribosomal RNA is filed under the name uncultured Pichia. RNAcentral's name for it is "eukaryotic LSU rRNA". It matches the Rfam family "Eukaryotic large subunit ribosomal RNA", at positions 62 to 564 of the family's 3401-position model. Lineage: Eukaryota; Fungi; Ascomycota; Saccharomycetes; Saccharomycetales; Saccharomycetaceae. The record is from RNAcentral.